GCUCUAUAACCCUUUGUGAACAUACCUAUAACUGUUGCUUCGGCGGGUAGGGUCUCCGCGACCCUCCCGGCCUCCCGCCUCCGGGCGGGUCGGCGCCCGCCGGAGGAUAACCAAACUCUGAUUUAACGACGUUUCUUCUGAGUGGUACAAGCAAAUAAUCAAAACUUUUAACAACGGAUCUCUUGGUUCUGGCAUCGAUGAAGAACGCAGCGAAAUGCGAUAAGUAAUGUGAAUUGCAGAAUUCAGUGAAUCAUCGAAUCUUUGAACGCACAUUGCGCCCGCCAGCAUUCUGGCGGGCAUGCCUGUUCGAGCGUCAUUUCAACCCUCAAGCUCUGCUUGGUGUUGGGGCCCUACAGCUGAUGUAGGCCCUCAAAGGUAGUGGCGGACCCUCCCGGAGCCUCCUUUGCGUAGUAACUUUACGUCUCGCACUGGGAUCCGGAGGGACUCUUGCCGUAAAACCCCCCAAUUUUCCAAAGGUUGACCUCGGAUCAGGUAGGAAUACCCGCUGAACUUAAGCAUAUCAAUAAGCGGAGGAAAAGAAACCAACAGGGAUUGCCUCAGUAACGGCGAGUGAAGCGGCAACAGCUCAAAUUUGAAAUCUGGCCCUAGGCCCGAGUUGUAAUUUGCAGAGGAUGCUUUUGGUGCGGUGCCUUCCAAGUUCCCUAGAACGGGACGCCAGAGAGGGUGAGAGCCCCGUACAGUUGGACACCAAGCCUUUGUAAAGCUCCUUCGACGAGUCGAGUAGUUUGGGAAUGCUGCUCAAAAUGGGAGGUAUAUUUCUUCUAAAGCUAAAUACCGGCCAGAGACCGAUAGCGCACAAGUAGAGUGAUCGAAAGAUGAAAAGCACUUUGAAAAGAGGGUUAAACAGCACGUGAAAUUGUUAAAAGGGAAGCGCUUGUGACCAGACUUGCGUCCGGUGAAUCACCCAGCUCUCGCGGCUGGGGCACUUCGCCGGCUCAGGCCAGCAUCAGCUCGCUGUCGGGGACAAAAGCUUCAGGAACGUAGCUCUCUUCGGGGAGUGUUAUAGCCUGUUGCAUAAUACCCUUCGGCGGGCUGAGGUACGC
This 1064-nucleotide ribosomal RNA is filed under the name fungal endophyte. Its description in RNAcentral is "eukaryotic LSU rRNA". The stretch from base 479 to 1064 matches the Rfam family "Eukaryotic large subunit ribosomal RNA", at positions 1 to 598 of the family's 3401-position model. Lineage: Eukaryota; Fungi. The record is from RNAcentral.